Molecule: ribosomal RNA, 179 nt
Filed under: uncultured eukaryote
Lineage: Eukaryota
Description: partial 18S ribosomal RNA
Rfam family: Eukaryotic small subunit ribosomal RNA
Source: RNAcentral
UGGUGCAUGGCCGUUCUUAGUUGGUGGGUUGCCUUGUCAGGUUGAUUCCGGUAACGAACGAGACCUCAGCCGCUAAAUAGUCACGGUUGGUUCGCCAGCCGGCGGACUUCUUAGAGGGACUAUUGGCGACUAGCCAAUGGAAGCAUGAGGCAAUAACAGGUCUGUGAUGCCCUUAGAUG